GACGAACGCUGGCGGCGUGCUUAACACAUGCAAGUCGAACGGAAAGGCCCUGCUUUUGUGGGGUGCUCGAGUGGCGAAGGGGUGAGUAACACGUGAGUAACCUGCCCUUGACUUUGGGAUAACUUCAGGAAACUGGGGCUAAUACCGGAUAGGAGCUCCUGCUGCAUGGUGGGGGUUGGAAAGUUUCGGCGGUUGGGGCUGGACUCGCGGCUUAUCAGCUUGUUGGGGGGGGAGUGGCUUACCAAGGCUUUGACGGGUAGCCGGCCUGGGAGGGUGGCCGGCCACAUUGGGCCUGAGGUACGGCCCAGACUCCUACGGGAGGCAGCAGUGGGGAAUAUUGCACAAUGGGCGGAAGCCUGAUGCAGCAACGCCGCGUGCGGGAUGACGGCCUUCGGGUUGUAAACCGCUUUCGCCUGUGACGAAGCGUGAGUGACGGUAAUGGGUAAAGAAGCACCGGCUAACUACGUG
RNAcentral lists this ribosomal RNA (468 nucleotides) under uncultured bacterium. RNAcentral describes it as "partial 16S ribosomal RNA". It matches the Rfam family "Bacterial small subunit ribosomal RNA", at positions 28 to 507 of the family's 1533-position model. The record is from RNAcentral.